GCCUGGGUGGCUCAGUCGGUUAAGCGUCUGACUUCGGCUCAGGUCAUGAUCUCACGGUUUGUGGGUUCGAGCCCCGCGUCCGGCU
This 85-nucleotide transfer RNA is filed under the name Felis catus (domestic cat). It matches the Rfam family "tRNA". Rfam says of the family: Transfer RNA (tRNA) molecules are approximately 80 nucleotides in length. Their secondary structure includes four short double-helical elements and three loops (D, anti-codon, and T loops). The record is from Rfam by way of RNAcentral. Lineage: Eukaryota; Metazoa; Chordata; Mammalia; Carnivora; Felidae.